Girardinichthys multiradiatus is the source of this 872-nucleotide long non-coding RNA. RefSeq lists it as uncharacterized. The record is from RefSeq and is a predicted model, not a curated record. Lineage: Eukaryota; Metazoa; Chordata; Actinopteri; Cyprinodontiformes; Goodeidae. The transcript has 2 exons.
CACAACCUCCACACAGGAGUGUGUCAUGUGACACUGGGGCCUUCACAGAGCUGUCAUUUCCAGAGUGUCCCGUGGCUAGCUCAACAUUAGUGAAAAGAAAAAGAUAUGAGGUCUUAGCUGAUGACUCCUGAUGAAAGUGAGAUCACCGUAAACUGUAUGAGUCCCUCCCCAGUCCCAAAAAUCCACAAAGGAUAUUGUUCUUGAAGUACAGUUGCUGGAGCUUUUUUGGAGGUGUCCUGUUUGUACCCAAAGCUGUGUUGUGGACAAACAACUAUUGAGACCUUCCUACAAGUCAAACAGCAGUGCAGUCACUGUGAAUAUGCCAGUGAGUGGUCCAGUCAGCCUAACAGGCAUGUCUUUGGACUGUGGGAGGAAGCCGAAGUACCCGGUGAGAACCCACGCAUGCACGGGGAGAACAUGCAAACUCCAUGCAGAAAGACCCCCGGCCAGGAAUCAAACCCAGGACCUUCUUGCUGCAAGGUAACAGUGUUAUCAACUGCGCCACCAUGCAGCCCUGACUGCUUCAGUGGUCCAAAAUUCCAGCAAACUACUGUGAGAAGCAUUUGAAAGAAUACCCAAAAUUCUUAGUCAGCUAGGACAGGGGUUCCCAAAGUGGAUCUCGAGACCCCCCGGGGGGGUUCGCAAGAAACCAAGUGGGGGUCAUGAGAUGAUUUUCUGAAUCAUUGUAAAGUGUCAAUUUGAGGAUUAUGGAGGGCCAAAAGGGACUAAAUUAAAUUGAUAAAUAUAUCAUGAAAUAAAUAAGUGUACCAUGAACCAUUUAAAUAUACCAUUAAAUGUCCUGUAAACAAUUUAAUUGUACCAUUGAUUUAAUAAAUUAUAAAUAAUUAAAUAUACCCAUAUUUAUAAAUAAA